GCUAUCUACAGGCUUAACACAUGCAAGUCGAGGGGCAGCAUGGUCUUAGCUUGCUAAGGCCGAUGGCGACCGGCGCACGGGUGAGUAACACGUAUCCAACCUGCCGUCUACUCUUGGACAGCCUUCUGAAAGGAAGAUUAAUACAAGAUGGCAUCAUGAGUCCGCAUGUUCACAUGAUUAAAGGUAUUCCGGUAGACGAUGGGGAUGCGUUCCAUUAGAUAGUAGGCGGGGUAACGGCCCACCUAGUCUUCGAUGGAUAGGGGUUCUGAGAGGAAGGUCCCCCACAUUGGAACUGAGACACGGUCCAAACUCCUACGGGAGGCAGCAGUGAGGAAUAUUGGUCAAUGGGCGAGAGCCUGAACCAGCCAAGUAGCGUGAAGGAUGACUGCCCUAUGGGUUGUAAACUUCUUUUAUAAAGGAAUAAAGUCGGGUAUGGAUACCCGUUUGCAUGUACUUUAUGAAUAAGGAUCGGCUAACUCCGUGCCAGCAGCCGCGGUAAUACGGAGGAUCCGAGCGUUAUCCGGAUUUAUUGGGUUUAAAGGGAGCGUAGAUGGAUGUUUAAGUCAGUUGUGAAAGUUUGCGGCUCAACCGUAAAAUUGCAGUUGAUACUGGAUAUCUUGAGUGCAGUUGAGGCAGGCGGAAUUCGUGGUGUAGCGGUGAAAUGCUUAGAUAUCACGAAGAACUCCGAUUGCGAAGGCAGCCUGCUAAGCUGCAACUGACAUUGAGGCUCGAAAGUGUGGGUAUCAAACAGGAUUAGAUACCCUGGUAGUCCACACGGUAAACGAUGAAUACUCGCUGUUUGCGAUAUACAGCAAGCGGCCAAGCGAAAGCGUUAAGUAUUCCACCUGGGGAGUACGCCGGCAACGGUGAAACUCAAAGGAAUUGACGGGGGCCCGCACAAGCGGAGGAACAUGUGGUUUAAUUCGAUGAUACGCGAGGAACCUUACCCGGGCUUAAAUUGCAGAUGAAUUACGGUGAAAGCCGUAAGCCGCAAGGCAUCUGUGAAGGUGCUGCAUGGUUGUCGUCAGCUCGUGCCGUGAGGUGUCGGCUUAAGUGCCAUAACGAGCGCAACCCUUGUUGUCAGUUACUAACAGGUUCCGCUGAGGACUCUGACAAGACUGCCAUCGUAAGAUGUGAGGAAGGUGGGGAUGACGUCAAAUCAGCACGGCCCUUACGUCCGGGGCUACACACGUGUUACAAUGGGGGGUACAGAGGGCCGCUACCACGCGAGUGGAUGCCAAUCCCCAAAACCUCUCUCAGUUCGGACUGGAGUCUGCAACCCGACUCCACGAAGCUGGAUUCGCUAGUAAUCGCGCAUCAGCCACGGCGCGGUGAAUACGUUCCCGGGCCUUGUACACACCGCCCGUCAAGCCAUGGGAGCCGGGGGUACCUGAAGUGCGUAACCGCGAGGAGCGCCCUAGGGUAAAACUGGUGACUGG
Molecule: ribosomal RNA, 1439 nt
Filed under: uncultured organism
Description: SSU rRNA
Rfam family: Bacterial small subunit ribosomal RNA
Source: RNAcentral